UGGGGAAUAUUGGACAAUGGGCGAAAGCCUGAUCCAGCCAUGCCGCGUGUGUGAAGAAGGUCUUCGGAUUGUAAAGCACUUUAAGUUGGGAGGAAGGGCAGUAAGCGAAUACCUUGCUGUUUUGACGUUACCGACAGAAUAAACACCGGCUAACUCUGUGCCAGCAGCCGCGGUAAUACAGAGGGUGCAAGCGUUAAUCGGAAUUACUGGGCGUAAAGCGCGCGUAGGUGGUUCGUUAAGUUGAAUGUGAAAGCCCCGGGCUCAACCUGGGAACUGCAUCCAAAACUGGCGAGCUAGAGUAGGGCAGAGGGUGGUGGAAUUUCCUGUGUAGCGGUGAAAUGCGUAGAUAUAGGAAGGAACACCAGUGGCGAAGGCGACCACCUGGGCUCAUACUGACACUGAGGUGCGAAAGCGUGGGGAGCAAACAGG
This 429-nucleotide ribosomal RNA is filed under the name Pseudomonadota bacterium. RNAcentral's name for it is "Proteobacteria bacterium partial 16S ribosomal RNA". It matches the Rfam family "Bacterial small subunit ribosomal RNA", at positions 355 to 776 of the family's 1533-position model. The record is from RNAcentral. Lineage: Bacteria; Pseudomonadati; Pseudomonadota.